RNAcentral lists this unclassified non-coding RNA (218 nucleotides) under uncultured Tomentella. Its description in RNAcentral is "sequence contains ITS2". Lineage: Eukaryota; Fungi; Basidiomycota; Agaricomycetes; Thelephorales; Thelephoraceae. The record is from RNAcentral.
ACACCUCAACUCUCGUGGCUUGCCAUGAUGAGCUUGGACUAUGGGGGUCUUGCUGGCCUAUGGUUGGCUCCUCUCAAAUGAAUCAGCUUGCCAGUGUUUGGUGGCGUCACAGGUGUGAUAACUAUCUACGCUUGUGGUUUUCCACCAGGUAACCUUCAGCAAUGGAGGUUCGCUGGGGCUCAUAAAUGUCUCUCCUCAGUGGGGACAGCUCUUUAAAC